Molecule: ribosomal RNA, 513 nt
Filed under: uncultured bacterium
Lineage: Bacteria
Description: bacterial SSU rRNA
Rfam family: Bacterial small subunit ribosomal RNA
Source: RNAcentral
UAUUGCUCAAUGGGCGAAAGCCUGAAGCAGCAACGCCGCGUGUGCGAUGAAGGCCUUCGGGUCGUAAAGCACUUUUCUGAGAGAUGAGAAAGGACAGUAUCUCAGGAAUAAGUCUCGGCUAACUACGUGCCAGCAGCCGCGGUAAAACGUAGGAGGCGAGCGUUAUCCGGAUUCACUGGGCGUAAAGCGCGUGCAGGCGGUUCGGUAAGUUGGGCGUGAAAUCUCCUGGCUUAACUAGGAGAGGUCGUUCAAUACUACCGGGCUUGAGAGUGGUAGAGGAAGAUGGAAUUCCAGGUGUAGUGGUGAAAAUGCGUAGAUAUCUGGAGGAACACCAGUGGCGAAAGCGAUCUUCUGGACCAUUUCUGACGCUCAGACGCGAAAGCUAGGGUAGUAAACGGGAUUAGAGACCCCGGUAAUCCUAGCCGUAAACGAUGUAAACUUGGCGUCGGUGGCUUAAACUCCAUCGGUGCCGUAGCUAACGCGAUAAGUUUACCGCCUGGGGACUACGAUCGC